Molecule: ribosomal RNA, 253 nt
Filed under: uncultured bacterium
Lineage: Bacteria
Description: partial 16S ribosomal RNA
Rfam family: Bacterial small subunit ribosomal RNA
Source: RNAcentral
UACGUAGGGUGCAAGCGUUAAUCGGAAUUACUGGGCGUAAAGCGUGCGCAGGCGGUUGUGCAAGACAGAUGUGAAAUCCCCGGGCUCAACCUGGGAACUGCAUUUGUGACUGCACAGCUUGAGUGCGGCAGAGGGGGAUGGAAUUCCGCGUGUAGCAGUGAAAUGCGUAGAUAUGCGGAGGAACACCGAUGGCGAAGGCAGCCCCCUGGGCUAGCACUGACGCUCAGGCACGAAAGCGUGGGGAGCAAACAGG